GCCGGCGUAGCUCAAUUGGCAGAGCAGCUGUUUUGUAAACAGCAGGUUACGGGUUCGAUUCCUGUCGCCGGCUCCA
RNAcentral lists this transfer RNA (76 nucleotides) under Chloroflexota bacterium. RNAcentral's name for it is "Chloroflexi bacterium tRNA-Thr". It matches the Rfam family "tRNA". Rfam says of the family: Transfer RNA (tRNA) molecules are approximately 80 nucleotides in length. Their secondary structure includes four short double-helical elements and three loops (D, anti-codon, and T loops). Lineage: Bacteria; Bacillati; Chloroflexota. The record is from RNAcentral. RNAcentral also lists the same sequence under 9 other names.